CCUACGGGAGGCAGCAGUGGGGAAUAUUGCACAAUGGGGGAAACCCUGAUGCAGCGACGCCGCGUGAGUGAAGAAGUAAUUCGUUAUGUAAAGCUCUAUCAGCAGGGAAGAAAAUGACGGUACCUGAGUAAGAAGCCCCGGCUAACUACGUGCCAGCAGCCGCGGUAAUACGGAGGGGGCAACCGUGAUCCGGAUUUACUGGGUGUAAAGGGAGCGUAGACGGCAGGGCAAGUCUGGAGUGAAAGGGGGGGGCUCAACCCCCGGACUGCUCUGGAAACUGUACGGCUGGAGUGCAGGAGAGGUAAGUGGAAUUCCUAGGGUAGCGGUGAAAUGCGUAGAUAUUAGGAGGAACACCAGUGGCGAAGGCGGCUUACUGGACUGUAACUGACGUUGAGGCUCGAAAGCGUGGGGAGCAAACAGGAUUAGAUACCCCUGUAGUC
This 440-nucleotide ribosomal RNA is filed under the name uncultured bacterium. RNAcentral's name for it is "partial 16S ribosomal RNA". It matches the Rfam family "Bacterial small subunit ribosomal RNA", at positions 338 to 795 of the family's 1533-position model. The record is from RNAcentral.